Molecule: long non-coding RNA, 672 nt
Organism: Gasterosteus aculeatus aculeatus (three-spined stickleback)
Lineage: Eukaryota; Metazoa; Chordata; Actinopteri; Perciformes; Gasterosteidae
Source: Ensembl
UACAGGCGCUACGAACCGGAGCAAGGGUCAGAUUUAAAGAAUAUGCUUUCAUUCUGCGCUAUAAGGGAAUAUAUACGUAUAGAUACCGAUCAUAACUGUGCAUUUUGUUUUCACAGACUAAUCUCGCCUCAUAAUGAGACGGUGACCUCGUAUUUGCUCCGGGAAAAGUCCAGAUUUAGACGACGUCAUUGUGUCCGCCUGUGAGACGUAUUGUGAGACGGGACGCAGGAGCUUCAGGUUCAGCCGGAACACUCAUUGUGAGCGGAAGCUGCGAAGGAUUCAGCGCGGAGUCGAGCGAGAAGAAAGAGGGUCAGAGUUUAUUUGCUGACUUGUUUCAGGUGCCGUGAUCGAUGUGUUGUGUCCGUACGCAUCGCAUCGCACAGUACUGAUUCAUUGUUGUUUUUACAGCUGCUGGAAUCGAGACAAAGUGCGCUGGCUGAUGACGAGGUGGAACGCUGGAAAUCCGCCACCGUGGAGCUCACGUCGGACGGAGGGGACGGCGUUGUUGGCGGGGUCUCGGGGUGGAUUUGACGGUCAACAACCCCGAGGAGGCAAACGGACAGUUUACUGAGCUGUAGUUUUUAAACCGCCGUUACCCAAGUGUGGGCAGAUCCUCACUUUGUAUGUAGUUGUUGUUUGUGUGUUGUUAAUAAAGCUUUUUCUUUGCAUAAA